GACGAACGCUUGCGGCGUGCUUAACACAUGCAAGUCGAACGGAAAGGCCCUGCUUUUGUGGGGUGCUCGAGUGGCGAACGGGUGAGUAACACGUGAGUAACCUGCCCUUGACUUUGGGAUAACUUCAGGAAACUGGGGCUAAUACCGGAUAGGAGCUCCUGCUGCAUGGUGGGGGUUGGAAAGUUUCGGCGGUUGGGGAUGGACUCGCGGCUUAUCAGCUUGUUGGUGGGGUAGUGGCUUACCAGGGCUUUGACGGGUAGCCGGCCUGAGAGGGUGACCGGCCACAUUGGGACUGAGAUACGGCCCAGACUCCUACGGGAGGCAGCAGUGGGGAAUAUUGCACAAUGGGCGGAAGCCUGAUGCAGCAACGCCGCGUGCGGGAUGACGGCCUUCGGGUUGUAAACCGCUUUCGCCUGUGACGAAGCGUGAGUGACGGUAAUGGGUAAAGAAGCACCGGCUAACUACGUGCCAGCAGCCGCGGUGAUACGUAGGGUGCGAGCGUUGUCCGGAUUUAUUGGGCGUAAAGGGCUCGUAGGUGGUUGAUCGCGUCGGAAGUGUAAUCUUGGGGCUUAACCCUGAGCGUGCUUUCGAUACGGGUUGACUUGAGGAAGGUAGGGGAGAAUGGAAUUCCUGGUGGAGCGGUGGAAUGCGCAGAUAUCAGGAGGAACACCAGUGGCGAAGGCGGUUCUCUGGGCCUUUCCUGACGCUGAGGAGCGAAAGCGUGGGGAGCGAACAGGCUUAGAUACCCUGGUAGUCCACGCUGUAAACGGUGGGUACUAGGUGUGGGGUCCAUUCCACGGGUUCCGUGCCGUAGCUAACGCUUUAAGUACCCCGCCUGGGGAGUACGGCCGCAAGGCUAAAACUCAAAGGAAUUGACGGGGCCCCGCACAAGCGGCGGAGCAUGCGGAUUAAUUCGAUGCAACGCGUAGAACCUUACCUGGGUUUGACAUGGAUCGGGAGUGCUCAGAGAUGGGUGUGCCUCUUUUGGGGUCGGUUCACAGGUGGUGCAUGGCUGUCGUCAGCUCGUGUCGUGAGAUGUUGGGUUAAGUCCCGCAACGAGCGCAACCCUUGUUCACUGUUGCCAGCACGUUAUGGUGGGGACUCAGUGGAGACCGCCGGGGUCAACUCGGAGGAAGGUGGGGAUGACGUCAAGUCAUCAUGCCCCUUAUGUCCAGGGCUUCACGCAUGCUACAAUGGCUGGUACAGAGAGUGGCGAGCCUGUGAGGGUGAGCGAAUCUCGGAAAGCCGGUCUCAGUUCGGAUUGGGGUCUGCAACUCGACCUCAUGAAGUCGGAGUCGCUAGUAAUCGCAGAUCAGCAACGCUGCGGUGAAUACGUUCCCGGG
Molecule: ribosomal RNA, 1343 nt
Filed under: uncultured bacterium
Lineage: Bacteria
Description: 16S ribosomal RNA
Rfam family: Bacterial small subunit ribosomal RNA
Source: RNAcentral